GAGGCUCGAAAGCGUGGGGAGCAAACAGGAUUAGAUACCCUGGUAGUCCUCGCGGUAAACGAUGAAUGUUAGGUGUUGGCGGGCAAAGCCCGUCGGUGCCGCCGCAAACGCAUUAAGCAUUCCACGUGGGGAGUACGUUCGCAAGAAUGAAACUCAAAGGAAUUGACGGGGACCCUCACAAGCGGUGGAGCAUGUGGUUUAAUUGGAAGCAACGCGAAGAACCUUACCAAGUCUUGACAUCCCAAUGAAUGUCUGGUAAAGCAGACAGACCUUCGGGACAUUGGAGACAGGUGGUGCAUGGUUGUCGUCAGCUCGUGUCGUGAGAUGUUGGGUUAAGUCCCGCAACGAGCGCAACCCUUAUCCUUAGUAGCCAGCGAGUAGAGUCGGGCACUCUGGGGAGACUGCCAGGGAGAACCUGGAGGAAGGUGGGGAUGACGUCAAAUCAUCAUGCCCCUUAUGAUUUGGGCUACACACGUGCUACAAUGGCGUAAACAAAGGGAAGCGAAGUGGCGACAUGGAGCGAACCCCAAAAAUAACGUCUCAGUUCGGAUUGUAGUCCGCAACUCGACUACAUGAAGCUGGAAUCGCUAGUAAUCGCGGAUCAGAAUGCCGCGGUGAAUACGUUCCCGGGUCUUGCACACACCGCCCGUCA
Molecule: ribosomal RNA, 652 nt
Filed under: uncultured bacterium
Lineage: Bacteria
Description: bacterial SSU rRNA
Rfam family: Bacterial small subunit ribosomal RNA
Source: RNAcentral